GCUUGUCUCAAAGAUUAAGCCAUGCAUGUCUAAGUAUAAGCACUUAUACCGUGAAACUGCGAAUGGCUCAUUAUAUCAGUUAUAGUUUAUUUGAUAGUCCCUACUACUUGGAUAACCGUAGUAAUUCUAGAGCUAAUACAUGCAUUACGUCCUGACUUUUCGGAAAGGAUGCACUUAUUAGAUACAACCAACCCUUCGGGUCUUUGGUGAAUCAUAAUAAUUGAGCGAACCGCAUGCUUCGGCGGCGGUGGUUCAUUCAAGUUUCUGCCCUAUCAGCUUUCGAUGGUAGGGUAUUGGCCUACCAUGGCGUUAACGGGUAACGGAGAAUUAGGGUUCGAUUCCGGAGAGGGAGCCUGAGAGAUGGCUACCACAUCCAAGGAAGGCAGCAGG
Molecule: ribosomal RNA, 390 nt
Filed under: uncultured Bicosoecida
Lineage: Eukaryota; Bigyra; Bicosoecida
Description: partial small subunit ribosomal RNA
Rfam family: Eukaryotic small subunit ribosomal RNA
Source: RNAcentral